CGCUGAAGCCUAACUUCGCGCUGCUCGACCUGCUCGAAGCGCUCCAGACAAGCGAGUAAGAGGCAGCAGAUUAUUAUGAUACAGAGUAAACGCGCUGCAGCAUCAUGAAGGAGAAUUGAAGCCCUAAACACAAACACACACAAUGUUUGUGGAAACCUCACGUUGGCAGUGUGAUUAUGCGGUAUUCGUGAAUUGUGGCCACCUACAUUUAUAUAUGAAGUACAGCUUAUUAAGAGAUUAUGUAUAGUUUAUUAGUGUAUAAUAUUCAUGGGAAAUAUUAUGCAGGCACAUCACA
Molecule: non-coding RNA, 295 nt
Organism: Penaeus vannamei (Pacific white shrimp)
Lineage: Eukaryota; Metazoa; Arthropoda; Malacostraca; Decapoda; Penaeidae
Source: RefSeq, a predicted model, not a curated record